GAUGAACGCUGGCGGCGUGCCUAAUACAUGCAAGUCGAGCGAACAGACGAGGAGCUUGCUCCUCUGACGUUAGCGGCGGACGGGUGAGUAACACGUGGAUAACCUACCUAUAAGACUGGGAUAACUUCGGGAAACCGGAGCUAAUACCGGAUAAUAUAUUGAACCGCAUGGUUCAAUAGUGAAAGACGGUUUUGCUGUCACUUAUAGAUGGAUCCGCGCCGCAUUAGCUAGUUGGUAAGGUAACAGCUUACCAAGGCAACGAUGCGUAGCCGACCUGAGAGGGUGAUCGGCCACACUGGAACUGAGACACGGUCCAGACUCCUACGGGAGGCAGCAGUGGGGAAUCUUGCGCAAUGGGCGAAAGCCUGACGGAGCAACGCCGCGUGAGUGAUGAAGGUCUUCGGAUCGUAAAACUCUGUUAUUAGGGAAGAACAAAUGUGUAAGUAACUAUGCACGUCUUGACGGUACCUAAUCAGAAAGCCACGGCUAACUACGUG
RNAcentral lists this ribosomal RNA (497 nucleotides) under uncultured bacterium. RNAcentral's name for it is "partial 16S ribosomal RNA". It matches the Rfam family "Bacterial small subunit ribosomal RNA", at positions 28 to 507 of the family's 1533-position model. The record is from RNAcentral.